RNAcentral lists this ribosomal RNA (464 nucleotides) under Peptostreptococcaceae bacterium canine oral taxon 125. Its description in RNAcentral is "bacterial SSU rRNA". It matches the Rfam family "Bacterial small subunit ribosomal RNA", at positions 9 to 454 of the family's 1533-position model. Lineage: Bacteria; Bacillati; Bacillota; Clostridia; Peptostreptococcales; Peptostreptococcaceae. The record is from RNAcentral.
GAGUUUGAUUAUGGCUCAGGAGGAACGCUGGCGGCGUGCCUAACACAUGCAAGUCGAGCGAGAAAUAGUCAGACGGAGAUUUCGGUUGAAGGAUGGUUAUGGAAAGCGGCGGACGGGUGAGUAACGCGUAGGCAACCUGCCUCAUGCAGAGGGAUAGCCUCGGGAAACCGGGAUUAAAACCUCAUAAGGCCAAGGGGACACAUGUUUUCGUGGUCAAAGAUUUAUCGGCAUGAGAUGGGCCUGCGUCUGAUUAGCUGGUUGGUGAGGUAACGGCUCACCAAGGCGACGAUCAGUAGCCGACCUGAGAGGGUAAACGGCCACAUUGGAACUGAGACACGGUCCAAACUCCUACGGGAGGCAGCAGUGGGGAAUAUUGCACAAUGGGCGAAAGCCUGAUGCAGCAACGCCGCGUGAGCGAAGAAGGCCUUUGGGUCGUAAAGCUCUGUCGAUAGGGAAGAAAAAGG